This 506-nucleotide ribosomal RNA is filed under the name uncultured bacterium. RNAcentral describes it as "partial 16S ribosomal RNA". It matches the Rfam family "Bacterial small subunit ribosomal RNA", at positions 30 to 523 of the family's 1533-position model. The record is from RNAcentral.
AUUGAACGCUGGCGGCAGGCCUAACACAUGCAAGUCGAACGGUAACAGGAAGCAGCUUGCUGCUUCGCUGUCGAGUGGCGGACGGGUGAGUAAUGUCUGGGAAACUGCCUGAUGGAGGGGGAUAACUACGGGAAACGGUAGCUAAUACCGCAUAACGUCGCAAGACCAAAGCGGGGGACCUUCGGGCCUCUUGCCAUCGGAUGUGCCCAGCUGGGAUUAGCUAGUAGGUGGGGUAACGGCUCACCUAGGCGACGAUCCCUAGCGGGUCUGAGAGGAUGACCCGCCACACUGGAACUGAGACACGGUCCAGACUCCUACGGGCGGCAGCCGUGGGGAAUAUUGCACAAUGGGCGCAAGCCUGAUGCAGCCAUGCCGCGUGUAUUAAGAAGGCCUUCGGGUUGUAAAGUACUUUCAGCGGGGAGGAAGGGAGUAAAGUUAAUACCUUUGCUCAUUGACGUUACCCGCAGAAGAAGCACCGGCUAACUCCGUGCCAGCCGCCGCAGUAA